Long non-coding RNA from Zonotrichia leucophrys gambelii, 2549 nucleotides. RefSeq lists it as uncharacterized. The record is from RefSeq and is a predicted model, not a curated record. The transcript is spliced from 3 exons. Lineage: Eukaryota; Metazoa; Chordata; Aves; Passeriformes; Passerellidae.
UAAGCGGUGGCACCCACCGGGCAGGGACAAACGUGCUCCUCGGGGGCACUGCGACUCACUGCUGCCUCGGAGAGCUCCCCGGAGGGCACCUCCUCACGGCCACCUCUCCGGGCUGUUGUGGCACCUGCUGAAGAAUCCCAGAAUUACCAAGGUUGGAAGACACCUGUAAGACCACCAAGUCCAACCUCAACGCAGCACUGCCACUGUAACCCCUAAACCAGUGAACCACAUUGCCCAGCACCAGAUCCAGAUAUUUCUUGAACACCUCCAGGGAUGGCACAGCAGAAGAGACCGGGUGCUCCACAUCACUACGACCUCCUUUCAGGUAGUUGUAGAGGGAGCUGCUGCUCUGAGAGGAGAAGAACUGGGACAGCAUGAGAACCCAGAGAAGCCCAGAGGGUCGAGGAUUAAGGGAGUGGUGUCCCUCUGCUCCGGUCCCACAGCACAGCAGGCUAGGAGGGCAGCUGGUGGCAAUGCUCCCCUGGGAAAGGAGGAUCUGGACUUUUAACUGAAAGAGGACAGCAUGUUACUCACGGCUCAGGAAGCUGAUGGAGCCUUUGCUCGAGGUGGCAGGGGUCAAAGUGGUUCAGUCACUGAACCUUUUCCCUUCUUUGACAGGCACACAUGAUAUGUGGCUCCCGGAGUUUUUGCCAUGUCACGCCAAUCCUGAGAGGCAAUGCCCAAGAGGUCUGGAAAAGAAGAUGCUGAAUCAGUCAUUCAGAUGUUAUGCUGACACAGAUAGCUCCAGCAAACCUUUGACAGCCCUUUUGUGCAAUUGAAACUGUCUGAAACAGCGGGCAGGAGCUGACAGCUUUACUUCUGGGGGUUUUGUCCUGUUUCCCCUUCGCUGCCUGUCCUCAGAGGGAUAGCAGAGAAAAGACAAAUCCCACUCAUUACUGCAACCUCAUGUCAGAGAGCUCUGCAGGCAGUCAACAAGCAGGUCCUGGGCUAUUUGGGGGACAGCCAGGGGCUUCAGAGGGCUCCUCCUUUCCCCCUUGGACUGGACUUCCCUUCCUGCAAGACCUCCAUAAGUCUCAGUGCCUGGAGUUCACAGAGAUCAUUUGCAUGUGAGGGGAGUUUCUCCAGAGGCAGAGACUUUGAGUCUCCAGCUGAUAGCUCCAUCUCACUGACCGCCAGCAGCCAGGAAUUUGGCUUGCCAUGCUUUGAAUUGGUCAUUUCAUCAGCUUCCUCCUGCUAGUCCUCCCUGUGACCUUGAAGAAGAAGGGGCAGCCUGGCAUCAACCAGCACAACUCCUCAGAGUCCAGAAAGUGUAGCAAGAUGGUGAUGGGCACCCAGUAACUCAUGGAAAGGUUCUGGUAGGGACAUCAGGGGAGCUCUUCCCAAAUGGCAGCUGCCUGGCCAAGCUCUGCUUGGCUGUUUCUUGGAGAGAACACCCUCCAGAGGCCACACAUUUCAGGACAUUCUGGACGGGAUCUGCCACAAGCCCCAGCUUUUCUGUGUGCUGUGAGGGAAAAGGCACUAAGCCUGGCCACUGCUCUCUUCCAGAAGGACAUUUGGAUUCUGUCCCCAGAAUGAAUUUCCAGAAGGUAUUGCAAGGCAUGGUACAAGGAGGAGAAGCCUUGAGGGGGCUGCAAGGCUCAGCCCCCUGGGCUGCCCCACUGCAGCAGGGCCUGGGGCUGAGCUGCUGGGGCUGCAAGGGCAGGGCUCCCCUUUGGGAAGGCGCUGGUUCCCUGUGGAUGCAGAGUGCCACCUACUGAGCCACCGCUCCCGGCAGCACCCGGGGUUCUCUGGCAGGACACCCAGGCUGGAGCUGCUGCUCAGAGAGUCCUUGCCCUGGCUGUUCCAUGGGGCUGGUCCCAGGGGACAGGGAGCUGCCCCAAAGGCUGGUGAGCCCCAAUGGGUGCAGCUUACAGAUGAGCAGGGAAUCUAUGCAAGGGGCUGCAUGUUCAGCACAGCUCUUGGCACCUGCCCUGAGCCAGACCUGGAUUUCCAUAGGCUGGCAGUGAAGUGAGACAAGAUGGGCUCAAGAGCCUGGCCAGUCCUCCCUGGGCCUUGACAAUCAUUUUGAAGACCUUCAGCACUGACUGGGCUCAGACAGCACCUGGCAGCACCCAGUGCAGGUGACAUUGGUGGUGAUAUCUCUUUGUCCCUUGGAUCCCUGUCCUUGUUUGUGGAACAGGGGGUGCCAGCACACAGCCACCACUUCCCAGCUGUGCCAUGAUGAUCCAGGGCAUAGGCACGGGCUUGUAGAGGAGCAGUGCCGCCCAUGCUGACAGCUGCUGGGCCUUGUCCUUGGCACAUCAUUGCUUCCAGGAGAGUCUGAGUGCCUGCUGGGAUCUUAUUCACUCUCUUUACUUUUGAUAAAACCCCUGAGAAAUGCGUGAAGGGAAAGGGAGUACCUGAAAUACCAUCCCAUUAAUGUUCUUCACUGACAUCAAAUGUUUAUUUUGCAGGGGUGGGCAGAGCUGACCUGGUGUUUGAACAUGAGUUAUCCUUUCUCAUCCAUCCAGCUGAGGACAGGUGGAAAAGGGUAAUGACUCAAACCAGAGUGGUGUCUGUCUGGGAAGCUCACCAGACUUUCACUUCUC